GGAGCAUGUGGUUUAAUUCGAUGCAACGCGAAGAACCUUACCAAGGCUUGACAUAUACCGGAAACGUUCAGAAAUGUUCGCCCCGCAAGGUCGGUAUACAGGUGGUGCAUGGUUGUCGUCAGCUCGUGUCGUGAGAUGUUGGGUUAAGUCCCGCAACGAGCGCAACCCUCGUCGUAUGUUGCCAGCACGUAAUGGUGGGAACUCAUAUGAGACUGCCGGGGUCAACUCGGAGGAAGGUGGGGAUGACGUCAAAUCAUCAUGCCCCUUAUGUCUUGGGCUUCACGCAUGCUACAAUGGCUGGUACAAUGGGCUGCAAUACCGCGAGGUGGAGCGAAUCCCAAAAAGCCAGUCUCAGUUCGGAUUGGGGUCUGCAACUCGACCCCANGAAGUCGGAGNCGC
This 399-nucleotide ribosomal RNA is filed under the name Pseudoclavibacter sp. AZTITEMP158. RNAcentral's name for it is "bacterial SSU rRNA". It matches the Rfam family "Bacterial small subunit ribosomal RNA", at positions 934 to 1335 of the family's 1533-position model. The record is from RNAcentral. Lineage: Bacteria; Bacillati; Actinomycetota; Actinomycetes; Micrococcales; Microbacteriaceae.